This 643-nucleotide ribosomal RNA is filed under the name uncultured Actinomycetes bacterium. RNAcentral describes it as "bacterial SSU rRNA". It matches the Rfam family "Bacterial small subunit ribosomal RNA", at positions 232 to 885 of the family's 1533-position model. Lineage: Bacteria; Bacillati; Actinomycetota; Actinomycetes. The record is from RNAcentral.
CGCGGCCUAUCAGCUUGUUGGUGAGGUAACGGCUCACCAAGGCGACGACGGGUAACCGGCCUGAGAGGGUGACCGGUCACACUGGGACUGAGACACGGCCCAGACUCCCACGGGAGGCAGCAGUGGGGAAUAUUGCACAAUGGGCGCAAGCCUGAUGCAGCAACGCCGCGUGAGGGAUGACGGCCUUCGGGUUGUAAACCUCUUCUAGCAGGGAAGAAGCGAAAGUGACGGUACCUGCAGAAAAAGCACCGGCUAACUACGUGCCAGCAGCCGCGGUAAUACGUAGGGUGCAAGCGUUGUCCGGAAUUAUUGGGCGUAAAGAGCUCGUAGGCGGUUUGUCACGUCUGCUGUGAAAAUCCAAGGCUCAACCUUGGACUUGCAGUGGGUACGGGCAGGCUAGAGUGCGGUAGGGGAGAUGGGAAUUCCUGGUGUAGCGGUGGAAUGCGCAGAUAUCAGGAGGAACACCAAUGGCGAAGGCACAUCUCUGGGCCGUAACUGACGCUGAGGAGCGAAAGCGUGGGGAGCGAACAGGAUUAGAUACCCUGGUAGUCCACGCCGUAAACGGUGGGUGCUAGCUGUGGGCCACAUUCCACGUGGUCCGUGACGAAGUUAACACAUUAAGCACCCCGCCUGGGGAGUACGG